RNAcentral lists this long non-coding RNA (965 nucleotides) under Homo sapiens (human). RNAcentral's name for it is "HSALNT0005117". The record is from RNAcentral. Lineage: Eukaryota; Metazoa; Chordata; Mammalia; Primates; Hominidae.
AAACACUGCUCACUUUGCUAAUGUGACACAGAUUGAAGAUGCUGUCUCCUUGUGGGCCAAACUGAAAUUGCAGAAGGCUUCAGAACGAUGGCAGCCUGACACUGAGGAAGAAUAUGAAGACUCAAGUGGGAAUGUUGUGAAUAAGAAGACAUACGAGGAUCUGAAAAGACAAGGACUGCUCUAGUGUUCAGGGAUGUAGCUCAGCUUUUGGGCUAGCCCAGGCUUCCCUAAGAUCUGCUUUUUCUAUUUCUCCCAACCAAAUCCUCUUAAAGACCCUUUGCUAUGUAGUCUCAUGGUCUAGCAUGCAUCUUGUAGAAACAAGGCAUGCUGGCAGAUUGCAGGGUUGAGAUGUGUUUUAUCUGUUUUAUAUUUUAAAAGAUUCUGCCAGAAAAUAAAACCAGACCUUGUUCUAAAGCCCAGGGUUAUGGACCAACUCAGUGCUUCAGGUCUUAACGCCUCCAUACCUCUUCCUCACCAACUUUACUAGUAGCUGAGAUUUAAUGGGCACCUAUUAUGCUACAUAUCAUGUUAGGUAAAUCUGACCUGACCUCUUUCCCCACCCUCCUUUGUUGCUGCUUCCCUGAAUGAGUAUUACCCCAGGAUGAGGUCUGCCAUCAGCUUAGUUAGCCAUUGAUGCAAAUACUAGGGAAAGACUAGGAGGAUGAGCCAGGGUUGCUACUAAGGACUAAGUGUCGCACCAAGGUUUGCCUUUUGUAUUUGCAUAAAGAAAGGAGUUGGAGCUGGGUGCAGUGGCUUGUGCCUGUAGUCCCAGCUACUUGGGAGGCUGAGGCAGGAGGGUUGCUUGAGACUAGCCUAGGUAACAUAGUGAGACCCUGUCUCAUUAAAAAAAAAAAAAAGGCAUGGUGGCACGCACUGUAGUCCCAGCUACUCAGGAGACUGAGGCUAGAAGAUCCUUUGAACCUAGGAGUUUGAGACCAGCCUGGGCGAUAUAGUGAGGCCCCAUC